AGUGAACGCUGGCGGUAGGCCUAACACAUGCAAGUCGAACGGCAGCACAGUAAGAGCUUGCUCUUACGGGUGGCGAGUGGCGGACGGGUGAGGAAUACAUCGGAAUCUACUUUUUCGUGGGGGAUAACGUAGGGAAACUUACGCUAAUACCGCAUACGACCUACGGGUGAAAGCAGGGGAUCUUCGGACCUUGCGCGGUUGGAUGAGCCGAUGUCGGAUUAGCUAGUUGGCGGGGUAAAGACCCACCAAGGCGACGAUCCGUAGCUGGUCUGAGAGGCGGGUAAGCGACACUGGAACUGAGACACGGUCCAGACUCCUACGGGAGGGAGCAGUGGGGAAUAUUGGACAAUGGGCGCAAGCCUGAUCCAGCCAUACCGCGUGGGUGAAGAAGGCCUUCGGGUUGGAAAGCCCGUUUGUUGGGAAAGAAAAGCAGCAGGUUAAUACCCCGCGGUUCUGACGGUACCCAAAGAAUAAGCACCGGCUAACUUCGUG
RNAcentral lists this ribosomal RNA (492 nucleotides) under uncultured bacterium. RNAcentral describes it as "partial 16S ribosomal RNA". It matches the Rfam family "Bacterial small subunit ribosomal RNA", at positions 29 to 507 of the family's 1533-position model. The record is from RNAcentral.